AUAAGACUAUUUAAAAAAUAAAAAUAAACAUUAUGCAAAGAUUAAGCCAUGUAUGUCCAAGUGCAAAUAAAUUAAAAGUGAAACCGCAAACGGCUCAUGAUAUCAGUUAUGGUUUAUAAGAUCGUUAACAGUUACUUAAUUAAGUGUGGUAAGUAUAGAGCUAAUAUAUGCAAUAUAAACGCGGACGUUUUGGAACAUGUAUUUUUAUUAGACUAAAACCCAGCGAUCAAAGACCGUUUUUUGGUUGAACUAUAAAUAACAUUCAGAUCGUAUGGUGUUGUACCGACGUCAGAUCUUUCAAAUGUCUGUCCUAUCAACUGAUGGUUGUAUUUAGGACUACCAUGGUUGCAACGAGUAACGGGGAUUCAGGGUUCGAUUCCAGAGAGGAUGUUUGAGAAAUGUCUACCACAUCAAAGGAACACAGCAGGCGCAUUUAUUACUCACUUGUGACGAAAAUAACAAUACAGUACUCAUUUUCGAGGCCUUGUAUUUGGAAUGAGUAUACUUAAAUCCGUGAGCAAGGACCUACUGGAGGGCAAGCGUUGUGCCAGCAGCCGCGGUAAUUUCAGCUCCAUUAGCGUAUAUUAAAAUUGUUACAGUUAAAACGUUCGUCGUUGAACUUGUGCUUCAUACGUGUAAUAAUACUUACAAUUGUGAUAUUUUCAAUGCCUUAUGUAUGUAUGCGUAUUACCAGUGGCGUUCUAUAUAAAAAUUAAUACUUGUAUUUUUUUAUAUAUUCCUCCUAUUGAAACCUACUUCAGUGCUCUUCAUCGAGUGUUGAUGUGGCCUGUACAAUUAAUUUGAACAAAUUAGAGUGCUUAAAGCAGGCUCAAAAUGGCUGAAUACUCUGUGCAUGGAAUAAUAAAAUAAGACCUCUGUUCUACUUUCAUUGGUUUUUAGAUCAAGAGGUAAUGAUUAAUAGAAGCAGUUUGGGGGCAUUAGUAUUACGACGCGAGAGGUGAAAUUCUUGGACCGUCGUAAGACUAACUUAAGCGAAAGCAUUUGCCAAAGAUGUUUUCAUUAAUCAAGAACGAAAGUUAGAGGUUCGAAGGCGAUCAGAUACCGCCCUAGUUCUAACCAUAAACGAUGCCAGCUAGCAAUUGGGUGUAGCUACUACUAUGGCUCUCUCAGUCGCUUCCCGGGAAACCAAAGCUUUUGGGCUCCGGGGGAAGUAUGGUUGCAAAGCUGAAACUUAAAGGAAUUGACGGAAGGGCACCACCAGGAGUGGAGCCUGCGGCUUAAUUUGACUCAACACGGGAAAACUUACCAGGUCCGAACAUAAGCGUGUAAGACAGAUUGAUAGCUCUUUCUCGAAUCUAUGGGUGGUGGUGCAUGGCCGUUCUUAGUUCGUGGAGUGAUUUGUCUGGUUAAUUCCGAUAACGAACGAGACUCAAAUAUAUUAAAUAGAUGCUUUCAGGAUUACGGUGUCGAAGCUUAUAUAGCCUUCAAUCAUGAAUGCAGUAAAAUGUACGAUUGUUUGAAUGUGUUUAUAUAAGUGGNAGGGGGUAUUAGUAUUACGACACGAGAGGUGGACCGUCCUAAGACUAACAUAAGCGAAAGCAUUUGCCAACGAUUCAAAAAAUUAUUAAUCAAAAAUGAAAGUU
RNAcentral lists this ribosomal RNA (1604 nucleotides) under Cirrula hians. RNAcentral's name for it is "SSU rRNA". It matches the Rfam family "Eukaryotic small subunit ribosomal RNA", at positions 1 to 1408 of the family's 1831-position model. Lineage: Eukaryota; Metazoa; Arthropoda; Insecta; Diptera; Ephydridae. The record is from RNAcentral.